RNAcentral lists this ribosomal RNA (792 nucleotides) under uncultured Leptotrichia sp. RNAcentral's name for it is "bacterial SSU rRNA". It matches the Rfam family "Bacterial small subunit ribosomal RNA", at positions 67 to 878 of the family's 1533-position model. The record is from RNAcentral. Lineage: Bacteria; Fusobacteriati; Fusobacteriota; Fusobacteriia; Fusobacteriales; Leptotrichiaceae.
GGCGAAGCUGCGUUUGCGCAGUCUAGCCAAGGCGGACGGGUGAGUAACGCGUAAGGAACUUGCCCUGCAGACAGGGAUAACAGACGGAAACGACUGAUAACACCUGGUAUUGUCAGGCUGGCGCAUGCCGGCCUGAUGAAAGGAGACGCUGCAGGAGAGCCUUGCGUCCUAUUAGCUAGUUGGUGGGGUAACGGCCCACCAAGGCGAUGAUAGGUAGCCGGCCUGAGAGGGUGAACGGCCACAAGGGGACUGAGAUACGGCCCUUACUCCUACGGGAGGCAGCAGUGGGGAAUAUUGGACAAUGGGGGCAACCCUGAUCCAGCAAUUCUGUGUGCACGAAGAAGGUUUUCGGAUUGUAAAGUGCUUUCAGCAGGGAAGAAGAAAGUGACGGUACCUGCAGAAGAAGCGACGGCUAUAUACGUGCCAGCAGCCGCGGUAAUACGUAUGUCGCAAGCGUUAUCCGGAAUUAUUGGGCAUAAAGGGCAUCUAGGCGGCCCUGUAAGUCUAGGGUGAAAACCUGCGGCUCAACCGCAGGCCUGCCCCGGAAACUACAGGGCUAGAGUAUCGGAGAGGUGGACGGAACUGCACGAGUAGAGGUGAAAUUCGUAGAUAUGUGCAGGAAUGCCGAUGAUGAAGAUAGUUCACUGGACGGUAACUGACGCUGAAGUGCGAAAGCUAGGGGAGCAAACAGGAUUAGAUACCCUGGUAGUCCUAGCUGUAAACGAUGAUUACUGGGUGUGGGCAUGAAGAGUGUCCGUGCCGAAGCAAAUGCGAUAAGUAAUCCGCCUGGGG